UACCUAGGACUUCCUGCAUACAUUCUCCUAGGAUUCUGGAACCUAAUUGCUCCAGGGGCAGAGGAGACUCAGAGAAAGAAUUACACCCUGGGCCAAGUAAAAAUACCCAAGUUUUGCUCAGGGAUUCUGUAGAACCAUCCAAAAAGAGGAGACAGGUCAUUUGUGAGUACACACGUAUGAUCACAGGAAUGCUCAGAUUGCCCUCACACUCAGGGAUUUAUAGCAAAGACUUAAAGUGAAAAUGCUGUUUAAAACACCAACCAACAACCAAAAUUAAAAGCAGCAGAUUCUGUGAGUCACCAAGAGCCUCCAACAGCAACGCGUUGUAAGCUAUAAAGAGGAUUGAACCCGGGCAUGUGUGGGGUGGAGUUUCUUCACACCUGAGAGAGGAGACUGCAGGAUGAUGCUGGCCCGUGGAAGGGGCCGGGUGUUCAGUCCUGGGAAGCUGAGUAGACUGAGUCUCAAGCCGCCAGAUUGGAGAGUGAAAGUGCGAAUGCUAGCAGUGAGGGAGAGCGUGAGGCCAAAUACAGAAGCGGGAGGAAAAAACAAGACAAGAGAGCACAGGGGACCCCCUGGAACUUUGUGAGCUUCUAGGGAGGCGUCUGUGGGAAACUGAAACUUCCUCGACUCUGUGGUAGAGAACCGGCCAUCAGGGAACAGCUGGUGAGAUGAAUACCCACAAGUGACACACCAAAGCAUUUGGAGGCAGCCAAGAGCAAUGAAAAUUGCCUCUCUCCAACUGCACUACGGAAUGGACUUUUUCUGACAGGUCACCAAAGAAGCAAACACUGAAUCAUUUUAUUCUUGAACACAAUGCAUAAUUCAUCCUGGUGUCAGAUACCCAAAGACAAAUGGCCAAGCUAGCCACAAUUUAUUUCAACAAGAAGGGGAGAUGAAUAAAGGAGAACUGAUUUGGACAACCUUGAGCAUCUGCUUCACACUGAGAUUUCGGAAGUUUAUUUGUAAAAGUUUAUCUGGCCACUUGGACUCAUUUGGGAGACCUGGCUUCUGGCCUCAGCUCUGUCUGUGGUUUAAGGGACAUUUCUUACCUCCCUGACCGAGAGAAGUUUUUACUACAUAUUCCCAAGUUCCUUCUAGU
Molecule: long non-coding RNA, 1099 nt
Organism: Bubalus bubalis (water buffalo)
Lineage: Eukaryota; Metazoa; Chordata; Mammalia; Artiodactyla; Bovidae
Exons: 3
Source: RefSeq, a predicted model, not a curated record